RNAcentral lists this ribosomal RNA (616 nucleotides) under Herbaspirillum sp. So3Pw_2921. RNAcentral describes it as "bacterial SSU rRNA". It matches the Rfam family "Bacterial small subunit ribosomal RNA", at positions 395 to 1004 of the family's 1533-position model. The record is from RNAcentral. Lineage: Bacteria; Pseudomonadati; Pseudomonadota; Betaproteobacteria; Burkholderiales; Oxalobacteraceae.
UGCCGCGUGAGUGAAGAAGGCCUUCGGGUUGUAAAGCUCUUUUGUCAGGGAAGAAACGGGUGAGGUUAAUACCUUUGCCUAAUGACGGUACCUGAAGAAUAAGCACCGGCUAACUACGUGCCAGCAGCCGCGGUAAUACGUAGGGUGCAAGCGUUAAUCGGAAUUACUGGGCGUAAAGCGUGCGCAGGCGGUUAUACAAGACAGAUGUGAAAUCCCCGGGCUCAACCUGGGAAUUGCAUUUGUGACUGUAUGGCUAGAGUGUGUCAGAGGGGGGUAGAAUUCCACGUGUAGCAGUGAAAUGCGUAGAUAUGUGGAGGAAUACCGAUGGCGAAGGCAGCCCCCUGGGAUAACACUGACGCUCAUGCACGAAAGCGUGGGGAGCAAACAGGAUUAGAUACCCUGGUAGUCCACGCCCUAAACGAUGUCUACUAGUUGUCGGGUCUUAAUUGACUUGGUAACGCAGCUAACGCGUGAAGUAGACCGCCUGGGGAGUACGGUCGCAAGAUUAAAACUCAAAGGAAUUGACGGGGACCCGCACAAGCGGUGGAUGAUGUGGAUUAAUUCGAUGCAACGCGAAAAACCUUACCUACCCUUGACAUGUACGGAAUCCUGAAGA